This is a long non-coding RNA of Dendroctonus ponderosae (mountain pine beetle), 1042 nucleotides long. RefSeq lists it as uncharacterized. The record is from RefSeq and is a predicted model, not a curated record. NCBI's taxonomy places the organism in Eukaryota, Metazoa, Arthropoda, Insecta, Coleoptera, Curculionidae. The transcript has 4 exons.
CUAUGAAGAACGACCGUCGAAUUUGGGCGAACAAUAAAAUUUGCCGUAUAUUAUCAAACAUAUUUGCACAUCCAGGCCAUAUAUAUAUAAAAGCAAAUCGUUUGAAAAUUAUUAUUUUCUGGUAAGGAAUGCUAAAGCUGUCGUUCCCCGAAGAAAAUGACUCCAAUUGAACGAGUUGCUUCAGUGCUUUGGAUGGUGUUGGUGGUGAUUUGUUGUGUAGUUUCAAGUGAUGUGGAUAUUUACCGAGACAAUAAACUGCUGACCGAUGAGGAAAAACGAGGAGCGACUGACGUUUCGUUUAAAGACUUUGGAGGCAAGUCCAAGACCUCCAAAAGGGGAAUAACUUCCACUAGAGACCACAAGCGCAGCUUUGGUUUAGGCGCCCUCAGUCCAUCUGGACAUGGAGAUUAUGACUCGGGCAGAUAUGGAGGCUCUGGCAGUGGGUUCUCCCAAACAGCUUCCGGGGGAUAUGUGGAGGAUGGUAAAGUAUCUGGCACAACUGUGUGGUAAAUUUAGGAACUUGGGGCUUUGCAGACCGCCUGCCGCCCAUUUAUGAGUCGGGAGGAGGAAGUUACCAUCACAGCGGCGGAGGAUAUUCAAGCGGGCGCCCAUCUGGGUACGGAGCAAAUUAUGGCCCUCCCCGUCCUUAUCAACGACCCGGCUAUCCAGGGGAUUAUGACGAUAAUUAUUACUCAGGCCAUAGUGGUAAUGGGGGCGGAAAUGAGCAGGGGAUGGGGGGUUAUAAGAUGCAAACACUCAAGAAGCUCCUUCUGCCAUUAGCAGGACUGGCCAUUCUAGGAGUGGCGGCUGCGGCCUCCCAAAAUUCCGUUCUGCUUCCAUUGGGUUCGUUUGGUGGCAGGAAAAGGCGCUCUUUGCCUCCAAGAACUUAUCCAUCCAACCCAGUUGUGAGGCCGAUCGGCACAUAAUUAUGGAAACGGGGAAUUUUAUCUGUUUGAUCAUAUCUAAUUUAUUAAAUUUUUUCUAGAGUAAGCAGGGAAAAUUUUCCUGAAAAUUUUACUUCUUCAGACAAAUUAGGUACAUG